RNAcentral lists this ribosomal RNA (496 nucleotides) under uncultured bacterium. RNAcentral describes it as "bacterial SSU rRNA". It matches the Rfam family "Bacterial small subunit ribosomal RNA", at positions 28 to 526 of the family's 1533-position model. The record is from RNAcentral.
GACGAACGCUGGCGGCGUGCUUAACACAUGCAAGUCGAACGGAAAGGCCCCUUUGGGGGUGCUCGAGUGGCGAACGGGUGAGUAACACGUGGGUGAUCUGCCCUGCACUUCGGGAUAAGCUUGGGAAACUGGGUCUAAUACCGGAUAGGACUCCGAGAUGCAUGUCUUGGGGUGGAAAGUUUUUAACGGUGUGGGAUGGGCCCGCGGCCUAUCAGCUUGUUGGUGGGGUGAUGGCCUACCAAGGCGACGACGGGUAGCCGGCCUGAGAGGGUGUCCGGCCACACUGGGACUGAGAUACGGCCCAGACUCCUACGGGAGGCAGCAGUGGGGAAUAUUGCACAAUGGGCGCAAGCCUGAUGCAGCGACGCCGCGUGGGGGAUGACGGCCUUCGGGUUGUAAACCUCUUUCACCAUCGACGAAGGCCCGGUUUCGGCUGGGUUGACGGUAGGUGGAGAAGAAGCACCGGCCAACUACGUGCCAGCAGCCGCUGUAACAC